GUGCUUGCUUCGGCAGCACAUACACUAACAUUGGGAUGAUACAGAGAAGGUCAGCAGAGCCCUUGCGCAAGGAUGACACGCAUAUUGGCAAACGGGAUUGAAAUCCAG
This is a small nuclear RNA of Mustela putorius furo (domestic ferret), 108 nucleotides long. The record is from Ensembl. NCBI's taxonomy places the organism in Eukaryota, Metazoa, Chordata, Mammalia, Carnivora, Mustelidae.